Molecule: long non-coding RNA, 277 nt
Filed under: Junco hyemalis (dark-eyed junco)
Lineage: Eukaryota; Metazoa; Chordata; Aves; Passeriformes; Passerellidae
Description: lncRNA (ENSJHYG00000015347.1)
Source: RNAcentral
GUCAGCGCCCGCCCCUCCGCGCGCUCCCGCGCCAGCUCCGCGCGCUGUCUCCGCCCCUCGCCCCGCGCGGCAGGAGGCGUGGCUAGCCUCGUUCCCACCCCGCAGCGUACAUAUAAAGCUGGCGAGCGCGCGUAACGCCCCCUCUUUCCCCACGGAGCGCCUGCUAUGGCGGCACACGGUAAGGCGGCGCGGGAUGCGGUGUCUGCCGCUGCGCCGGCCAGGGGGAGGGUGUGAUGGAGAGGAGAUUUUCAUUGGUGCCAAGUACAUUGUACAUUAA